AACGAACGCUGGCGGCGUGCUUAAUACAUGCAAGUCUAACGAGAAAGUCCGACUUCGGUUGGGCGAGUAAAGUGGCGAACGGGUGAGUAACACGUGGAAAAUCUACCCUUGUGUCUGGAAUAAUCCUUCGAAAGGGGGUCUAAUACCGGAUAACAUCCCGAAGCGGCAUCGCUUUGGGAUCAAAGGCGGGGCAACCUGCCGCAUGGGGAUGGUUCCGCGCUCCAUUAGCUUGUUGGUGAGGUAACGGCUCACCAAGGCUAUGAUGGAUAGCCGGCCUGAGAGGGUGAUCGGCCACACUGGGACUGAGAUACGGCCCAGACUCCUACGGGAGGCAGCAGUAGGGAAUAUUGCGCAAUGGGCGAAAGCCUGACGCAGCAAUUCCGCGUGGAGGACGAAGGCCCUCGGGUCGUAAACUCCUUUUGCGAGGGAAGAAGAUCUGACGGUACCUCGCGAAUAAGCCACGGCUAACUACGUGCCAGCAGCCGCGGUAAUACGUAGGUGGCAAGCGUUGUCCGGAUUUAUUGGGCGUAAAGCGCCCGCAGGCGGCUUGGAAAGUUUCGGGUGAAAUCUCCUGGCUUAACUGGGAGGGGUCUCGGAAAACUACCAGACUUGAGUACGGGAGGGGGAAGUGGAAUUCCUGGUGUAGAGGUGAAAUUCGCAGAUAUCAGGAGGAAUACCGGUGGCGAAGGCGACUUCCUGGACCGAUACUGACGCUGAGACGCGAAAGCGUGGGGAGCAAACAGGAUUAGAUACCCUGGUAGUCCUAGCCCUAAACGAUGAGUGCUUGGUGUGGCGGG
RNAcentral lists this ribosomal RNA (797 nucleotides) under uncultured bacterium. RNAcentral describes it as "bacterial SSU rRNA". It matches the Rfam family "Bacterial small subunit ribosomal RNA", at positions 28 to 829 of the family's 1533-position model. The record is from RNAcentral.